ACUGCACAGCUACGAACCACUCCCUUGGCAGACGCAGCUCGAACCAACGGAUACCUUCUUCCGGAUAACUGUCAAAAGCACAAAAUAAGAGAGAAGGAAUUGGAACAGUCUUUCUGACUUGAGCAUCCGUGUAAGAAACACGCAUGCGGGAACACCCGCAGCUGCACAGCAGAACUGCAGAGACUUAGUGUGUCGUCAGCAAAUCGGAACGACGAAACAAAAGCCGGAUCGAGAAGUUCCCCGCCACGGAGCACACGGACCCGAACAUACAAAGUGCGGAAGAGAAAGACGCCAGACACAUUCAUUGGAAACCCCAAAAGGGUUUUUGUUUUUCCUUUUCAUCCUAUUCUGCGGAAUCAGUCAUCGACGACUGACUCGAUCUUGGUCCAACCAUCUUCAACGUGGACGGUUCCCUUCUACUUGGAGGUUAAGCGCGACUACACGGCAGAACACGAGGAGGAACCGAAAUUAUUACACUGUGGUUCUGGAAGCCGGAUUGAUUAGCCGAGAUCGUGAGUCACACACCGACAUCGAUCGUAUUUCCGACGGAGGCGUUUGGACUAGUGGCCUCGUGCGAGACACAGGAGUUUUGAUUGGUGCGAUGAGAUUGGGUGCGAGCGUGACGUCAUCGCACUGAUAGUGAGUGAUUUGCUGAUCGCAAGCCGGAGAGUAAUUGGUCUUCGUCGCGGAUCGAUCUCCGACCAGACAGGCGCUUGCGGCUUAAUUACCGUUGCGUUGCGCGCAGAAUAUUGGAGUAAGAGCCGUAGCGGGAUUGUGGACUGAGCGAUUUCGAGCUUCGGACGAUAGUUGUUGGCAGUGCUGACAAUGACAUCGGUCGGAUAAGGACGAUGGGGAUUCGAUCGUCCAGUGAGCAAGGCUUCGGUACCGUGAGUAAAAGAUUUGUUGUGAGUUUAUGGAAGAUGAUAGCGUAGGAAAAUGAUAAUCAGGGUAAUAGAAAUGUGUAGAGCUGGAUAGCGAAAGAAGUGCUUUAGGUUUAGAGAAAGAAAGUGAGGAGGCGGAAAAGUAGAUUGGAGUACAUGCUCGAAAAUAUAUAAGCAAUAUGAAACGAUACACAAAAUGAUUUUAUUUGGGCUAGUUGGCUUUCCGUCGCCGAAGGAAGAAAUUCCUAUAUUUUACAUUGGCGCCCAACUGAAAACCCCAUCUAUUUAAAAAAUUUAUAUUAGAAUUUGAGUUUUGUGAUUUG
This is a long non-coding RNA of Malaya genurostris, 1204 nucleotides long. RefSeq lists it as uncharacterized. The record is from RefSeq and is a predicted model, not a curated record. The transcript has 3 exons. Lineage: Eukaryota; Metazoa; Arthropoda; Insecta; Diptera; Culicidae.